This 486-nucleotide ribosomal RNA is filed under the name uncultured bacterium. RNAcentral's name for it is "bacterial SSU rRNA". It matches the Rfam family "Bacterial small subunit ribosomal RNA", at positions 28 to 508 of the family's 1533-position model. The record is from RNAcentral.
GACGAACGCUGGCGGCGUGCCUAACACAUGCAAGUCGAACGAGAAUCACUUGAACAGAGGCUUCGGCCGACGGGAAGGUGAGGAAAGUGGCGAACGGGUGAGUAACGCGUGAGGAACCUGCCUUUCAGAGGGGGACAACAGUUGGAAACGACUGCUAAUACCGCAUAAUGUGUUUGAGGGGCAUCCCUCGGACACCAAAGGAGCAAUCCGCUGUAAGAUGGACUCGCGUCCGAUUAGAUAGUUGGUGAGGUAACGGCUCACCAAGUCUGCGAUCGGUAGCCGGACUGAGAGGUCGAUCGGCCACAUUGGGACUGAGACACGGCCCAGACUCCUACGGGAGGCAGCAGUGGGGGAUAUUGGCACAAUGGAGGAAACUCUGAUGCAGCAACGCCGCGUGAGGGAAGAAGGUCUUCGGAUUGUAAACCUCUGUUUUUAGUGAAGAAUAAAUGACGGUAGCUAAAGAGGAAGCCACGGCUAACUACGUAG